RNAcentral lists this unclassified non-coding RNA (21 nucleotides) under Chlamydomonas reinhardtii. RNAcentral describes it as "small RNA Cre_2686". Lineage: Eukaryota; Viridiplantae; Chlorophyta; Chlorophyceae; Chlamydomonadales; Chlamydomonadaceae. The record is from RNAcentral.
UCGGAGAAGCGGGUAGCUGAG